RNAcentral lists this long non-coding RNA (1128 nucleotides) under Callithrix jacchus (white-tufted-ear marmoset). RNAcentral describes it as "lncRNA (ENSCJAG00000083726.1)". The record is from RNAcentral. Lineage: Eukaryota; Metazoa; Chordata; Mammalia; Primates; Cebidae.
AAACACUUUCAGUAGAAGAUUGAAAUACCUCUUUAAGUGCCACUUUUCCAAAGCAACUGCAGACAUAACAUUAUGCUACACAAAUAGUAAUGACUGAGUGGGAGUACAUAACCCUUCUGUGCUAUCCUCUUGCUCACUCCUAGAAAACUUUAGCAUGUAAAAAUAAAACAGUAAUUACUCUAAUGUGGUCUAAUUCAGGGUUCUAGCUUUGCAGUUUAAGAAAUUAAAAGUCAAAAAUUUUAUUAUCCCUCCCUCUUCCCAAAGAAAGGCUUGCAGGAAAUUGGCCCAGCAGGUGAGAUGAUUCUAAACACUUUGCCCUGUUGACACAAAACAGCUUUCACUUAUGUAUAAAAAUUGGAAAGUGAAACCGACCAGACUAGUUUUAUUACCCAAGCUUAGUUAACAUUAGAACAACACAUGGAAACAGAAAAUAAUGGAAAAAAGUGUAAUUUUUUUCUGUUGCGUUGAACUUUCUGAAAGAUUUCUAAAGUGUUAGGAAGAAGGAAGAAUGAUUCUCAUUCCCACUCCCUCAUUACCUAUAAACCUAAAUUUGAUCUCAUGAUUAAACGGUGAUUCAAUGGCUCAUGGAAACUGGCACCUCAGAAUAAACUCGAAAACACCAAGUGUUCCAAAUGACAUCAUCUUUCACCAAGAUGGCUGCUCUUAGCAAACAGUUCAAAUGCCAACUGCAACUAAAUCCCCGUUUCUCCCAGGUAUUUUUUAGCUUACUUCUAGAGAACUUCUGGACUCGGUCACUGUUUGCGUAGCAGCAACUAGGUCUCUCUGUGUUGAACAAUCUUGUCUUGAAUUUCUGGCUUUGAACUCCUGGCCUCAAGUGAUCUUUCUGCCUUGAACUCCCAAAGUGUUGGGAUGACAGAAUGUGAUCUCUGCACAUGUUGGCCCUUUGUCAUUUUCUGCCAUGAGGGGAAGCAGCCUGUGGCUUGCACCAGAAGCAGAUGCUGGUGUCUUGCUUCUUGUACAGCUUGCAGAACCAUACGCCAAAUAAACCUCUUUCCUUUAUAAAUUACUCAGCCUCAAUUAUUCCCAUGUAGCAACACUAAAUGGACUAAAUUGCAUGCAUUUCACAAUUUUGUGCUUUUUUUUUUUUAUUAUUUCACUGUUUAAAUA